UGCAAAGUCGAUGCAGAGCUGCAGCUGCGCC
This 31-nucleotide non-coding RNA is filed under the name Rattus norvegicus (Norway rat). The record is from RNAcentral. Lineage: Eukaryota; Metazoa; Chordata; Mammalia; Rodentia; Muridae.